This 253-nucleotide ribosomal RNA is filed under the name uncultured bacterium. RNAcentral's name for it is "partial 16S ribosomal RNA". It matches the Rfam family "Bacterial small subunit ribosomal RNA", at positions 524 to 776 of the family's 1533-position model. The record is from RNAcentral.
UACAGAGGGUGCUGGCGUUGUUCGGAAUGACUGGGCGUAAAGGGCGCGUAGGCGGUUUAUCAAGUCAGAUGUGAAAGCCCUGGGCUUAACCUAGGAAUAGCAUUUGAUACUGGUUGACUGGAGUACGAGAGAGGGAAGUGGAAUUCCUAGUGUAGAGGUGAAAUUCGUAGAUAUUAGGAGGAACACCGGAGGCGAAGGCGGCUUCCUGGCUCGUAACUGACGCUGAGGCGCGAAAGCGUGGGGAGCAAACAGG